UUCUUCUUUUAAAGUUAAUUCUAGCUUUUAUAUUAAAUAAUAUUUUAUUUAUAUAUAAAUUUUUGUGUUAUUUAAUUAAAAUUUAAUAUUUUUAUUAAAUAUUAUCUUAAUAUUUAAAAUUAUAUUUUAUUGAAAAAUAAUUAUAGUAAAAUUUAAUUAUCAACAAAUUUUGUGCCAGCAGUUGCGGUUAUACAAAAGAUAUUUAAUAUAUAAUUAAGAUUUAUAUGUAUUUAUUUUUUAAAAAAUUAAAUUUAGAUAAAAUUAUUUUUUUUUAUAAGAGAUUAUUAUUUAAAUUAUUAAAUUAAACUAUAAACUAGGAUUAGAUACCCUAUUAUUUUAAAGUAAAUUUUUAAAGAUUAACUAUUUUGGUGAAAUUUAAAGAAUUUGGCAGUAUUUAAAUCAAUUUAGAGGAACUUGUAAUAUAAUUGAUAAUACACGAUUUAAAGUACUAAAAUUAAUUUAAUUUAUAUAUUAUUGUUAAAAAUAUUUUUUCAGGGAAUAAAUCUAAUUAUAUAAUUUUAUAAAUAUAUCAAAUCAAGAUAUAGUUGAUAUUUUAGAAUAGAUGAGUUAUAAUUAAGAUUUUAAUGGAUUAAUUAAUUAAAUCUUAUGAAUUUAGAUUUAAAAGUAAUAAAAUUAAUUUGAUUUUUAUGAUUAAAGUUUUUGAAUAUGCACAUAUUGCCCGUCAUUUUUAAUUAUAUAAAAAAAGUCGAAACAUAGUUAAAGUAUUGGAAAAUGUUUUUAGAA
Molecule: non-coding RNA, 744 nt
Filed under: Oxyethira ecornuta
Lineage: Eukaryota; Metazoa; Arthropoda; Insecta; Trichoptera; Hydroptilidae
Source: RNAcentral